RNAcentral lists this unclassified non-coding RNA (203 nucleotides) under Bombus terrestris (buff-tailed bumblebee). Its description in RNAcentral is "misc RNA ENSBTSG00005033981.1". Lineage: Eukaryota; Metazoa; Arthropoda; Insecta; Hymenoptera; Apidae. The record is from RNAcentral.
AAAUUUGACGCGCAAGUACGCCCGGAAACAGAAAUAAGCGAACAGCAAACUGAAGGAGCAGUUAAUAUUGACAGGUGUAAGUAUUAUAUAUAUGAUGUACCACUGUCGAGAGUUUUGACGAUUGAGAUCGAGAUCGAAGAUGAUGAGGAGAAAAGAAACGAGGAGGAAAACUAAUUUCAGAAGAAGCAAUUGUUGGUGCGGGG